RNAcentral lists this ribosomal RNA (445 nucleotides) under uncultured bacterium. Its description in RNAcentral is "bacterial SSU rRNA". It matches the Rfam family "Bacterial small subunit ribosomal RNA", at positions 331 to 793 of the family's 1533-position model. The record is from RNAcentral.
CCAGACUCCUACGGGAGGCAGCAGUGGGGAAUAUUGCACAAUGGGGGAAACCCUGAUGCAGCGACGCCGCGUGAGUGAAGAAGUAAUUCGUUAUGUAAAGCUCUAUCAGCAGGGAAGAAAAUGACGGUACCUGAAGAAGAAGCCCCGGCUAACUACGUGCCAGCAGCCGCGGUAAUACGUAGGGGGCAAGCGUUAUCCGGAUUUACUGGGUGUAAAGGGGGCGCAGACGGCGAUGCAAGCCAGGAGUGAAAGCCCGGGGCCCAACCCCGGGACUGCUCUUGGAACUGCGUGGCUGGAGUGCAGGAGGGGCAGGCGGAAUUCCUGGUGUAGCGGUGAAAUGCGUAGAUAUUAGGAGGAACACCAGUGGCGAAGGCGGUCUGCUGGACAGCAACUGACGCUGAGGCGCGAAAGCGCGGGGAGCAAACAGGAUUAGAUACCCGUGUAA